Molecule: ribosomal RNA, 352 nt
Filed under: uncultured bacterium
Lineage: Bacteria
Description: partial 16S ribosomal RNA
Rfam family: Bacterial small subunit ribosomal RNA
Source: RNAcentral
ACACGUAGGGGCCUGACGUUGUUCGGAAUCAUUGGGCGUAAAGGGCGCGCAGGCGGCCGUCCAAGUCCGGUGUUAAAUGGUCGGGCUCAACCCGAUCCUGCGCUGGAAACUGGGCGGCUUGAGUCCCGUAGGGGAUGCCGGAAUUCCAGGUGUAGGGGUGAAAUCUGUAGAUAUCUGGAAGAACACCGAUGGCGAAGGCAGGCAUCUGGCCGGAGACUGACGCUGAGGCGCGAAGGCGCGGGGAGCGAACAGGUUUAGAUACCCUGGUAGUCCGCGCAGUAAACGAUGCGCACCAGGUGUCGGGCGGCAGCGCCCGGUACCGGAGCUAACGCGAUGAGUGCGCCGCCUGGGG